GAGGUAGAAGUGAGGGGGAGGAGCAGUGGUGGCGUGAGGGAGCGUCGUCGUGGUACUACAGGCAGCCGCCAUUGUUUUGUGGAUCAUGCACUCGGAUAACGUGGAUCAGAGAUUCGAAGAAAGUGGAAGAGAUAAAGAAGAAAGGAAAACAGUUGGGAUUUUGUGUUGAGAGAGAGAUUGGGGGAAGAAGACCGAGUCAGAGAGCGAGUGAAGUGAGUGAAGAAGUGGGGAU
This 232-nucleotide long non-coding RNA is filed under the name Linum usitatissimum (flax). RNAcentral's name for it is "long non-coding RNA (LUSI_LNC002829)". The record is from RNAcentral. Lineage: Eukaryota; Viridiplantae; Streptophyta; Magnoliopsida; Malpighiales; Linaceae.